RNAcentral lists this ribosomal RNA (252 nucleotides) under uncultured bacterium. RNAcentral describes it as "partial 16S ribosomal RNA". It matches the Rfam family "Bacterial small subunit ribosomal RNA", at positions 524 to 776 of the family's 1533-position model. The record is from RNAcentral.
UACGUAGGGGGCUAGCGUUAUCCGGAAUUACUGGGCGUAAAGGGUGCGUAGGUGGUUUCUUAAGUCAGAGGUGAAAGGCUACGGCUCAACCGUAGUAAGCCUUUGAAACUGGGGAACUUGAGUGCAGGAGAGGAGAGUGGAAUUCCUAGUGUAGCGGUGAAAUGCGUAGAUAUUAGGAGGAACACCAGUUGCGAAGGCGGCUCUCUGGACUAUAACUGACACUGAGGCACGAAAGCGUGGGGAGCAAACAGG